This 429-nucleotide ribosomal RNA is filed under the name Pseudomonadota bacterium. RNAcentral describes it as "Proteobacteria bacterium partial 16S ribosomal RNA". It matches the Rfam family "Bacterial small subunit ribosomal RNA", at positions 355 to 776 of the family's 1533-position model. The record is from RNAcentral. Lineage: Bacteria; Pseudomonadati; Pseudomonadota.
UGGGGAAUAUUGGACAAUGGGCGAAAGCCUGAUCCAGCCAUGCCGCGUGUGUGAAGAAGGUCUUCGGAUUGUAAAGCACUUUAAGUUGGGAGGAAGGGCAGUAAGCGAAUACUUUGCUGUUUUGACGUUACCGACAGAAUAAGCACCGGCUAACUCUGUGCCAGCAGCCGCGGUAAUACAGAGGGUGCAAGCGUUAAUCGGAAUUACUGGGCGUAAAGCGCGCGUAGGUGGUUCGUUAAGUUGAAUGUGAAAGCCCCGGGCUCAACCUGGGAACUACAUCCAAAACUGGCGGGCUAGAGUAGGGCAGAGGGUGGUGGAAUUUCCUGUGUAGCGGUGAAAUGCGUAGAUAUAGGAAGGAACACCAGUGGCGAAGGCGACCACCUGGGCUCAUACUGACACUGAGGUGCGAAAGCGUGGGGAGCAAACAGG